This 3071-nucleotide long non-coding RNA is filed under the name Equus caballus (horse). RNAcentral describes it as "lncRNA (ENSECAG00000044460.1)". The record is from RNAcentral. Lineage: Eukaryota; Metazoa; Chordata; Mammalia; Perissodactyla; Equidae.
GGGGCUCGGGCCCUGACUCAGAGGCUUUUUGCUGCUGCCGCUGACUGCUUGGGCCCGCAUUGCUGCCAUCCUCCUCUUCCAGCUGCCCAGCUCCAAGACCUUGGAGACGGAGAGCUGGAGGCGGUAGAAUGAAUGGAGGUGGGUGUGAGCAGCACGUCUUGGAGCAGAUGGGAGACAGCACGAAUGCAUGCACACACUUGGGAAGCCACCUGUCUUAUACACACACGUGUACCGAGACACACGAUGACAUCUCUCCAUCAUCGCACGUACGUGGACUCCUGCUUGAGGUAAACGUGUCAUCAUCUACAGGCACAGGCAUAGACACAAACCCACUCCUGAGACACCUUCGCAUCACACAAAUGUAUAAAGCCAAAGCCAUAACACUCGAAGAGAUAGAGGCCCCCAAUACACAGGUGUGCAAACACACAUUGCUCAGAUCACCCCAACAUCACACGCAGGCACACGUGCAUGCAUGCACACACACGUGGGGCCAGUGGCAGCUCCCUGUACUGGAAAAAGUCUUAGAUUGAGAAUCAGCAACACCACUCAGCAGCUGAGGUGACCCAGCUCAUCCUGAAGCCUCCCCAUCAGGCACUCAGUUUCCUCAUCUGUCAAAUGGGGACAAUAAUCCCCACCCUGUUGUCCUCUGGCGCACUGGUGAGGCACAAAGCAGAAGGAUGAGAAGGCAGAAGGAGGGGGUCUCAGUCACCGAAGGACCUGCUUAGACAGCAGUCACAGGGAUAACGCCACCUACCCAGCAGGGUUGUUGAGAGGAUUAAAUGGGAUAACGUGAGUAAAAUGCUUAACAAGGUACUAGCACAAGCCAGCCUCCUGCACAACUUCCUCCCCUCUUCACAAGGCAGCUUCCAUCCAGCCCACCAUUCAUGCUGCUGGGUGCCUGGGGAAGACAGCCAGACCAGGCUUCUGCUCACAGGUGGACACCAACGGAGGAGCAGGGGCACUUGGACAAGACCCCUCAUGGUCAGAGAAGGUUUUUCUUCCUUGGCGGUCAGAGAUAACGACUGAUCCUUGCUGAAUCCUUCCCGUAUUAUAGUGCCUUUUGGGUUUUAACUCAACGAGUCCUCACAACAACUCUGUGAAGCCCAUGCUAUCAUCAUCUUCAUGUCCCAGAUGAGGAAGGGGAGGGACAGAGAGGGUAGGAAACUUGCCCCAGGUCACAGAGUUGGACUUGAACUCAGGCAUCUGGCUCUUUAGUAUUUUGUAUCCCUGACGAUGGCACUAUACUCUUCACCAGUUUGUGACAAGCUGGUGCGUCAGAGGAGAAUUUAGGUGGAUGGGGGAAGAGGGACAAUUUCAGCACCAACUUGACUUGGCCAGGGAGAAGGGCUAAGUCUCCACGCCCUCUGGCAUGCCUGGUAUAUUUCACAAUUUACUAAGGGUGCACUCUCCCUGUCUACCUGUCUCCACAACCUUCUGAGAUGCUGUAAUCAUUAUCCCCACUGCGUAGGUGAGGAAAUAAAGACCCCAAAAGGUAAAGUGACUUGCCUAAGGCCUCUCAGCUGUGUGUCUGCAUUCCAAACACUCCACAAAGUCUCUCUAGAGGAGACAAAUUCUAUUUUUCAAGGGACCAGGGGGAAUAAUGCUUCCUGUUCAAAUGGGGCUGCCAAAGGGCUGGGAGUGGGAGGGACCCAAAGCCAGGGAUGGGUCCCAGGGCAGAUUCAGGCUUCGGAGAGGGAGGGAGCAGGACUUGAGGAGGUCACAGGGGUGGAAGAAGCCUGCCUUGGUGGAUCCAGCUGAUCCCCCUGGGCUUGGGGAAUGUGACAGGAGCGCAGCAGAGGCAUGUCAGGAACCUCCCGCAGUCUGGCUUCCCCCAGGAUCUGUUGGAGCAAAGAAUUCCCGGUGGCUCCAGGGCUGGGAGGAGAGCGUGCGGCAGGCUCCAGCUUGCAGAGACAGAGAAAGCCUCCCCUGGGUCCAAUUUGAAAGGAGUGGUCUAGUGGUUCUGAGGCAGGCACAGGGGGCAGUAGGAGGCGUGGGACCUGGGCAAGGGUCACAUGCCCCCAUCUACUCUUAGUACUCUGCCCAACUCCACACUCUAGGGCCCUCGACCCCAUAGAGAGUGGGAGCAGGGCUGGGGGAGGGGUGAUCAGGCAGAGGAAGGAACCACUGAAUGGGGGAGCCCCAGUCUGAGGGGGGAGGCCAGUGCUCUGCUCUCUGACAAUCACCAGUCUGAGGGAAGAGUACAAGUCCUGAGGGGUUGGGCAAAACAGCACAGAGAAGGUGAUCACAGGUGGCUUCUAGGCCCAGGGGUUUCCUGAGCAGAGUGGGGGAAGAAUCAUGUCCCAGAAGAAUCAUGUCCUCAGAAGAAUCAUGAUCUGAGGGGGAUAAACCAGAUGCCAUGCUCCAGGCCUCACGAUUUGACCUGUAUGUUACUCAUCAGCUUGAAGUUGGCGGGGGGGUGUGGGUAAGAGAGCGGGGGCCCCAGGCCAGGGGCAUACCUCAGGCUGGCCAAAGGGUUUUCCUUCCAUCUGACCCCCAAUUCAACUGAACUCUGAAAGGGGAUAGUUCAGAGGAAGCCGGGAGGAAUAUAUUCCACAUAUAUUCCACAGAGAGUGGCAUCCUCCCCUGGAAAUGAAGUCAUCUCUCCAUUUUUGGGCCAGAGAGGCUGAAGGCCUGGCACUGUGAAGAGCUGAAUCAGAAACCUUGAUGUUUGGAGGAAGCUUGGGGCCAACUCCUUUCCUUUUUUAGGCUGGCCAGACAUGUCCCCCAGGAUGCCAAUGGGGCUAAGCACCUCGGAGUCAUCAAGCUAUGGGGUUGGAAAGAGCCGCAAACUGUAUCUACUCUGACAGGGGAAGCAGAGCCCUAUACUCAGGGGGCCCCCAAUCUGAUGGGGGACAGGCUCUACCUUAUAGAGCCCUAGACUGGAGUAGAAAGUGGUGGUGGACACAUAUCAACUCCUACACACACAGAGGAUUUGGCAAGAGAAAUUAUCUGAGCCUCCGAGAGGGUAGGUAACCUUGCCACGGUCACACAGGAAGUAGUAGCAGAGCAGUGCUCUCCUCAUUACCCUGUGAUCCCAGGCCCCCCUCCUCCCUCCCUGGGGCCAGAGUUGC